This 464-nucleotide ribosomal RNA is filed under the name uncultured bacterium. RNAcentral describes it as "partial 16S ribosomal RNA". It matches the Rfam family "Bacterial small subunit ribosomal RNA", at positions 28 to 506 of the family's 1533-position model. The record is from RNAcentral.
GACGAACGCUGGCGGCGUGCUUAACACAUGCAAGUCGUACGGUAAGGCCCUUUCGGGGGUACACGAGUGGCGAACGGGUGAGUAACACGUGAGUAACCUGCCCACAACUUUGGGAUAACGCUAGGAAACUGGUGCUGAUACUGGAUAUGUGCUCCUGCUGCAUGGUGGGGGUUGGAAAGCUCCGGCGGUUGUGGAUGGACUCGCGGCCUAUCAGCUUGUUGGUGGGGUAGUGGCCUACCAAGGCGGCGACGGGUAGCCGGCCUGAGAGGGUGACCGGCCACAUUGGGACUGAGAUACGGCCCAGACUCCUACGGGAGGCAGCAGUGGGGAAUAUUGCACAAUGGGCGCAAGCCUGAUGCAGCAACGCCGCGUGCGGGAUGACGGCCUUCGGGUUGUAAACCGCUUUCAGCAGGGACGAAGCUUUUUGUGACGGUACCUGAAGAAGAAGCACCGGCGAACUACGU